UGACUAUCUCUAAUGGCAGCUACAACCCUCUUUAAAUUUAGUCUGUCAGUCUGUAGUUCAGUCUGUCAAUUACAAAAACAAACUAUUACUCGUGUCCACUUAUCAUUUUUACCAUUCACAACUGCAAUUCAAAAUCGCAUCUUGCACUUUUAUCUUAUCACCACCAGAUCACGCCAAAUCACCACCAAUCACCUGUAUGGAAACACGACUCAACCAUUUCAAUAUUUAACAGUAAAACACACUCUAAGGCUCAUUUUUUACAUUGAUCACUGCAGCUCAAACAUUUACAACACCUCAAAACACUCACAUUUGCUUUAUUUCUUCUUACAGGUGGAGACGGCCGUUUAUCAACAUCACGCUCAACUGCGUCAGGACCAUGAAAGCAGGAGGAGCUGGAUGACUGUCUGCAGAGCAAAGGAUCAUGGCUCAAUCAGCAGGCCUCAGCUCUGACCACCUCCUGUCAUGUCACCUUUGCUCAACUGUCUGGACCCUCUGGACCACCUGGACAACACAUCACGUGGAGAUGACCGUUUCUCAGCAUCGCACUCAACUGCGUCAGGACCGUGUCUGUCUGCAGAGCAGUAAGAGGAUUUCUUUUAUCUUCACAUCUUUUACUCUUACACAAACACAAAGUGCCAGAGAGAGAUUUUAUUUAUCAAAAAUAUUUUACAAAAUACAUGCAUUUUCAUCUCAAUUAAGUCU
Molecule: long non-coding RNA, 702 nt
Organism: Seriola aureovittata
Lineage: Eukaryota; Metazoa; Chordata; Actinopteri; Carangiformes; Carangidae
Exons: 3
Source: RefSeq, a predicted model, not a curated record